UACAGAGGGGGCAAGCGUUAUUCGGAAUUAUUGGGCGUAAAGGGCGCGUAGGCGGCUUUUCAAGUGACGGGUGAAAUCCCUCGGCUUAACCGAGGAACUGCCUGUCAGACUGGAAGGCUUGGGACCGGGAGAGGUGAGUGGAAUUCCCAGUGUAGCGGUGAAAUGCGUAGAUAUCUGGAGGAACACCGGUGGCGAAGGCGGCAUCCUGGACCGACAUUGACGCUGAGGCGCGAAAGCCAGGGGAGCAAACGGG
This 253-nucleotide ribosomal RNA is filed under the name uncultured bacterium. Its description in RNAcentral is "partial 16S ribosomal RNA". It matches the Rfam family "Bacterial small subunit ribosomal RNA", at positions 524 to 776 of the family's 1533-position model. The record is from RNAcentral.